Molecule: long non-coding RNA, 334 nt
Filed under: Solanum tuberosum (potato)
Lineage: Eukaryota; Viridiplantae; Streptophyta; Magnoliopsida; Solanales; Solanaceae
Description: long non-coding RNA (STUB_LNC000075)
Source: RNAcentral
UAUUCAUCAAUAAUAGUGGUGAGUCCUCAUUCUUCUAGAACGAUUGAUAUGUUUUAUAUUCAGUCUUAUAUUUUAGUUUCAGUUUUGCAAGAGUUAGCUGGGUACAUGUCCCACCAUCUCUAGUAAGUUAGAAGCUUUUAUUUAGACUUGAUUUUUGUCAUUCCCCGAGGCUACCCCCUUGACGUAACUCGAGACCUAGGAUCACGAGUGACCCUAAGCUAAUCCUAAGCUAGAACAUCAUAAGCAUAUUAGAUAAGAAUAUAAGAUCAACACUUUAUAAAACCUUUAAAAGCCUAAACCUAAGAAACCCUUUACCCUAAGAAACCCUAAAUCC